CCUACAGGAGGCAGCAGUGGGGAAUAUUGCACAAUGGGGGAAACCCUGAUGCAGCGACGCCGCGUGAGUGAAGAAGUAAUUCUUUAUGUAAAGCUCUAUCAGCAGGGGAGAAAAUGACGGUACCUGAGUCAGAAGCCCCGGCUAACUACGUGCCAGCAGCCGCGGUAAUACGUAGGGGGCAAGCGUUAUCCGGAUUUACUGGGUGUAAAGGGAGCGUAGACGGCAGUGCAAGUCUGGAGUGAAAGGCGGGGGCUCAACCUCCGGACUGCUCUGGAAACUGUACGGCUGGAGUGCAGGAGCGGUAAGUGGAAUUUAUAGUGUAGCGGUGAAAUGCGUAGAUAUCAUGAGGAACACCAGUGGCGAAGGCGGCUUACUAGACUAUAACUGACGUUGAGGCUCGAAAGCGUGGGGAGCAAACAGGAUUAGAUACCCUGGUAGUC
This 440-nucleotide ribosomal RNA is filed under the name uncultured bacterium. RNAcentral's name for it is "partial 16S ribosomal RNA". It matches the Rfam family "Bacterial small subunit ribosomal RNA", at positions 338 to 795 of the family's 1533-position model. The record is from RNAcentral.